GCCGGGCGCGGUGGCGCGCGCCUGUAGUCCCAGCUACUCGGGAGGCUGAGGCAGGAGGAUCGCUUGAGCCCAGGAGUUCUGGGCUGUAGUGCGCUAUGCGGAUCGGGUGUCCGCACUAAGUUCGGCAUCAAUAUGGUGACCUCCCGGGAGCGGGGGACCACCAGGUUGCCUAAGGAGGGGUGAACCGGCCCAGGUCGGAAACGGAGCAGGUCAAAACUCCCAUGCUGAUCAGUAGUGGGAUCGCGCCUGUGAAUAGCCACUGCACUCCAGCCUGGGCAACAUAGCGAGACCCCGUCU
RNAcentral lists this signal recognition particle RNA (297 nucleotides) under Mustela putorius furo (domestic ferret). RNAcentral's name for it is "Metazoan signal recognition particle RNA (ENSMPUG00000022033.1)". It matches the Rfam family "Metazoan signal recognition particle RNA". From Rfam's summary of the family: The signal recognition particle (SRP) is a universally conserved ribonucleoprotein. It is involved in the co-translational targeting of proteins to membranes. Lineage: Eukaryota; Metazoa; Chordata; Mammalia; Carnivora; Mustelidae. The record is from RNAcentral.